This 469-nucleotide ribosomal RNA is filed under the name uncultured bacterium. Its description in RNAcentral is "bacterial SSU rRNA". It matches the Rfam family "Bacterial small subunit ribosomal RNA", at positions 917 to 1382 of the family's 1533-position model. The record is from RNAcentral.
GGGCUCGCACAAGCGGUGGAGCAUGUGGUUCAAUUCGAUGCAACGCGAAGAACCUUACCCGGGCUUGAAGUGGAGGUGGUAGGAGCCGGAAACGGCAACGACCCCGAAAGGGGAGCCUUCAUCAGGUGUUGCAUGGCUGUCGUCAGCUCGUGUCGUGAGAUGUUAGCUUAAGUGCUGUAACGAGCGAAACCCUUGCUGUUAGUUGCAAACCCGAAAGGGUGCACUCUAGCAGGACUGCCCGUGCUGAAUGGGAGGAAGGCGGGGACGACGUCAAGUCAUCAUGGCCCUUAUGUCCGGGGCAACACACGUGCUACAAUGGCCGGUACAAAGGGUUGCCAACGCGCGAGCGGGAGCCAAUCUCAAAAAACCGGCCUCAGUACGGAUCGGAGGCUGCAACUCGCCUCCGUGAAGCUGGAAUCGCUAGUAAUCGCGGAUCAGCCACGCCGCGGUGAAUAUGUUCCCGAGCCUU